Molecule: long non-coding RNA, 13174 nt
Organism: Hemicordylus capensis (graceful crag lizard)
Lineage: Eukaryota; Metazoa; Chordata; Lepidosauria; Squamata; Cordylidae
Exons: 3
Source: RefSeq, a predicted model, not a curated record
CACCUAUGACCUAAGUCCCUAAGGAAUAGCCCCAUCUACCUCCGGUUAGCGGAUCAGGAAGUUCACAUCGACAGCCCUUCUGGCCCUGUUCACCCUUCUAGAUGUCCCACAAUUAAUAUACAAUGCAAACACUGCCAAAUUAAUGACAACACAGCAGUGGACAGCCUCCUCCAAUCAUGGUAGGACUACAGGUCCACAGUCCCACCCAGGUUUCCCACCCGGGUCAAGUGCUGGCAUGCAAGUGUAGCUGCCACUCCCAACAGAGGAGGGCCUCAGUCAUGUCAGCAUCUCUGGUCACAGGUAUGAGGGCACACCCCUGAGAGUAGUAUACCUCAUUUCCAAACACAAAAUUGAUGAAAAGGGGGAUACAUCGUAUUACCCCUAACACAAAUAUACUUUGCCUCAGGUCUCCACUCCCUGGCUCAACAAUCCCAUAUGAGGUAGUAACCAAGACGGCUGUACUAGGCUUUAGUGACAUACCUCUUACCCAGUACAGCAUAGUCCACAUGGGCUCUCACAAAUAAGCCAUCGUCCAGCCACUCGGCAACAUGAGUUCUAGACCUUUGAGGUCUGCCUCCUAUGUAGAGACGGACAUGCAACCCAGUCCGGUGCCUGGCCUAGUAGUAACCAGAGCCACAUUGGCCCAUUCCCAUCUUAGAUACCCUCUCCAUGGUCAUGUAACAGCCAUGAUUCCUAGGGCAGCUCAUCUCCAGCACCCAGUAGAAAUAUCUCCCUCCGGGCAGUAGGAUAUGACUCACUGUUUUAAUCUCUAGUGGGUCCCCCAUUACAGUUAUUGUCAUGGCAAGCACCAACCAUACAGUCAACUUAUUCCAUCUCAAUCUAGCCUAUUGACAGUCUCUCUCCAUACAAACCAUCUUAGCCAUGAGAUGAUGGCACGAGGCAACGCCUCGAUCAAUAUCACUGGUUUCGUGAUUACUGCUAUUACCAUCAUGGGAUAUAUUACCACAGGCUCAUAACCUUUCACAGGCUUUUAACCUCUGGACUCUCUCCAGCUAUCUUAACAUUCUCGCCUAGCUGUUCUUCUGGGAUGGAACUCUCUCCUCCCUCCCCACUGCCAGCUAGGAUAUAAGGUCCAUGACCAUAUAGUUGGAAGAACACACCCAACUAAGCCUAGAGAGUUGUUGUACUGCUUGCAGCCUAGCCUAGCUGCUCUGGGCUCCUUGGAGGAAAAGCGGGAUAUGAAUGUAAUAAUAAUAAUAAUAAUAAUAAUAAGAAGAAGAAGAAGAAGAAGAAGAAGAAGGCAGGCAGAGUGCCAUCAUUCCUGAGGGGUGCUACCUGCCAACCUCUCCCUCAGUACGUCAGCUGGGCACUUGUCCAGUUCCUUACCUAGGCAUGAAAUUUACCAGGCAGAUGGCCAGAGGUUAGCAGGCUCCCUAACACAGUGGAACCCUCACUGUUGGCCUUACAGAGGAACCUAGGAUAUUUGCCUGACUUUGACUCUUCUCUUGACGUCCUAAAGACCAAGGUCCAUCCACAACCAAAACUCUCUCAGGUGUAACUAUGGCACAACUUGGACCCAUAUCAGCAGCUCAGUCUCAUUCCAUAAAACUGACUGACUGUCCAUUUCCUUCUACCAAGAUCUAUAGGCAAGGCAGUGACUUCUCCAACUAUUGCCAGAUGGUUUAGCGCGUGUAUCGUUCUGGCGUACGAAACACAAAACAUUUGGCCUCCCUUAUAUAGCCCACGCAAUGAGGGCGGUGGCAACCUCAACCACCUUUUUUCAACCAAUGUACCAGUCCAGGAAACCUGUAGGGUUGCAACCUGGAAUAAUCUGUCUACGUUCACACAGCAUUUUAAAGUGGGCAUUAUGCCUCCGCCUAGGUGGCUUUUGGUAGACAAGUUCUGCAAGGGUUCUUAUACAGGAGCAGCCAAGAGCGCAUCCCUCUCUGAUGACGUACAGGCUUUGGUAUGUCCCAUCGAGAUGGCCUUGAUUGCAGCAACCAAGAACAGAGCAUUGGUUCACUUACCGUGAAGGCUUCUUCUGGUUGUUGCAGUCAAGGCCAUCUCGGCCCUCCCGGCUAGCCGCUCUUGGGCUGCUCCUGAUGGGGAGGUGUUGCUGUUUUUGUUUUACUCAUUUAGUAUGAGUGCUAGAAUUAGAACAUUCUUCCAGCUGACAAGGGCUCUUCAGUAUCGUGUGUCUAUCCAACUCACCUGUCUGUUCUAACUUACUAUGAUUUACCCCAUGUAGCUUAAUCUGUGGUUGGAAAUAUAGGUCAGUCUUUAUUUGCUAACUUGGCCUGUAAGAACUGGGCGGGGUCAGGCUGGACGGGGUCAAGCUCUAGAGACUUCUAUCUUUCAGCUAAUUAGCAUAGUCCUGCCUUGGAGCACGGGAGGGGGAUGACCCAUCGAGAUGGCCUUGACUGCAGCAACCAGAAGAAGCUUUCACGGUAAGUGAACCAAUGCUCCGAUCUCUGGGGAAUGAAGAAACAAGUAAGGGCCUUCAAUGUUUGUCUGUUUAUUUCCCCGCUGCAGUGGAUUUUGUCCUGCUUUCUCUCUUUUCUCUUGCAGAGUUCCAAGGGCCAGAUGGCAAAAUGCCUGUGGCCUGCUGGAGCGAGAGUAGUUCUAGGGCCUGUAGCUAGACCUCAGACUUUUCAGCCACCUGCCCCAGGAAGCCCCCAUCCAAGGAGAAAGUUGAGUUCCAAAGUCCAGAGAGAAAGAGAAAAAAGAAACCUUGAAGCACAACUACCACAGGCUGCUGCUGAGGAUGCAGUAGCUCUAGGGCCUGAGACUUUUCAGUCCUCACCCUCAGGAAGCCCCUGCCCAAGGCGGAAGUUUUUCUGGUGGUCAGAUGGAAGAAAGACACUUUGAAGAAGAAUGACCACAACCUGCAGCAGCUGUCACUGCUCUGACACAUGCUGCUUGGCUUCAGGCAACAUGCCCCCUCCCUCAUGAAGCCCCUGCCCAAGGCAGAAGUUGGUAAGUCUUUGGGGAAUGGAGUUACAAGUCAGGCCCCUCUGAGUUUAUAUCUUUAUCCUGCCACAGGACUGGAUGUUGGCCAUCUUUUUUCUCUUUCCACUUACAGACUUCCAAAGGCCAGAUGGAAGAAAAGCCCCUUGAAGGACUUGUAGUUGCUCUGGGGCUUGCGCCUUGUAAUAAUUUUUUUAGCAUGGAAAUCCCUACCCACGGCGGAAGUUGGUAAGGCUCUGAGGAAUGGCAGAACAUGUUAGAUGACCCCUCCAUUUGUCUAUGCCACCACAGCCUAGGAUGUUUCCCAGCUUUCUCUCUUUUCUCUUGCAGAGUUCCAAGGUCCAGAUGGAAGAAAGGUUCCCUCAGGCAGAAUGAUCACAUGCUACAUGGACUAUAGUAGCUCAAUUGACUGCUGCUUGGCUUCAAACUCUUCAAACUCCCUCAGGAAGCCUCAGCCCAAGGCGCAAGUUGGUAAGUCUCUGGGGAAUGGAGGAACAAGUCAUCUUUUAUCUUCUUUCCCACUUCAGAUCCGGAAGUUUCCCAACUUUCUCCUACAGAUUUGUGAGAGUCAUAUGACAGAAAGACAAGAGUAAUCACUGUAGCCUACAGGGGUUGUGGCAGCCCUAGGACCUGCAGCUUGGGUUCAGCCUUUUCAGUACCAUCCCUGAAGAAGUCCCUGCCCAAGUUAGGAAUUGGUAUGUUUCUAUUGGAUGGAGGCCACUCUACAUUAAUCUUUUUAUCCUGCCGCAGCACCAGAUGUUGGCCAGCUUUCUCUCUUUUCUCUUGCAGAUUUCCAAAGGGUAGAUGGAAGAAAGACAACUCGAAACAGAAUCUAGAAGCUGUAGUAGCUCGAGGGCCUAUGUCUCUGUCUAAGACAUUUUAGCUUCCUCCCCCAGGAAGCCUCUGCUCAAGGCAGAAGUUGGUAAGUCUCUGGGGAAUGGAGGAACAAGUCAGGCAAUUCAAAAUUCUUAUUUCUUUCUUUUCUGAGAACCAGAUGUUUCCCAGCUUACUCUGUUUUCUCCUGCAGCAUUCCAAGGGCCAGAUGUGAAAACAGUGUCCUCAGAUCAAAUUACCAUGGCCUGCAUGGGCUGUAGCUGUUCUAGGACCUGCUGGUUAGCCUCAAACUUUUCAGCUCCUUCCUCCAGGACUCCCUGGGCCAAGGCUGAAGUUGGUAAGUCUCUGGGGAAUGGAGGAACAAGUCAGGCCACUCUUGUUUUUUCUUUCUAUCCCCUCAGCACUGCAUAUUUCCCAUUGUUCUUUCUUUUCUCUUGAAGAGUUGCCUGGGCCGGAUGGAAGAAAGGUGCCCUGAAGUAGAAUGACCAUGGCUUGCAGGAGCUGUAGCUGCUCUGGAACCUGCUGCUCAACCUGUCUGUUAUGCCCUAUCCUUGAGGAAGCUUCUGCCCAAGGCACAAGUUAGGUCUCUGGGGAACUGAGUAACUAAUCAGGUCACUCUAGGCUCUUCUCUCUAUCCCCCCACAGCAAUGACCGUUUCCCAGCUUUCUCUCUCUUAUUUUGUCCCUGUUCUAAUUCUUAUAUCUUUAUCCUUCCCUUUACCAGUAUUCCUUGCAGGUAACAUAUUCUAAGUACAGCCAGCAUCUUGAAAAAGUAGCAGGAGUGCAUAGUCCCCACUAAGAUAUGAUCCUCCCCAUCUCAAUUUUUAAAAAACAUCUAAAAACCCAUCUCUUUAACCAAGCUUUCUCACCCUUUUAAAAUUUGUUGGUUUUAAUUUUGUGAUUGAUUUUAAAUUGUUGAAUUGUUUUAACACGUGUUUUAAUUGUUUUAUGUUAACCGCCCAGAGACAAAAGUUUGGGCGGUAUAUAAAUGUGAUGAAUGAAUGAAUGAAUAGUCCUAAAGUACAGAAACCACAAGGAGAAAAAAUAUAACAUUAUACCAUGAUAUUUAAUCAUCUGAUUUGUUGUUCAAUCUUAACAAGUAUAGGAGGAGAACAAAGAGCUGGGGCUUCUUAAAGCUUUAAGCGGUGAUCUUAUGCACAGAUCCUUGUGUAUUAAUGCAGGGGGAAAUUGUUUUUUCCACAUUUCAAGAGAAACUUCGUUCAAUUCACUUUUGCACAGAGUACAUAUCUCUUGAAGGCAAAGAUCAGAGAUUUUUAUAAGUCUAGGAAUAUUGUCCUUUGUGUUGCUGUGUUACUGUUUUUCAUUUAAACUAUGUUCAGUGCAGUACAGAGAUUAAAGUUUCUUUUCCACAUAACUAUUUCCUGAAGUGAGAAGGUCAUAACAUUCAAUCACUCCUUUGCACUAAAGCAUCUUAAACAUUAUUAUUCUGAAAUAGUUGUGUGCUGUGACCCUGUCAAUUAGUUGACAUUAAUCUUUUCCAGGAAAGAAGGCAAAACCUGUUCAGAGCUAACAAAAAAACUACAUCUGGGAAUUCUUUGUCUUUAACCAUUUGAAAAUAAUUAUGAUUGCUCCAAAAGAAUGAGGAAAAGGUUCUUUGUACUUAAACAAUACAACCAUUUGGACUUCAUUACUGAUUUAAAUACUUUCACCUCUGGCUGUCUGGUUACAGGUUGUUGGGAAGAUCAAAAAAGGCUUCUGUAGCAGUGAGAUAUGAUUAAAUGGUAAAACUGGUGAAAACCUUUUAACUUUAUUGCAUCUCUGAGAUUAAGCAAAUAUACUGUCCGUAGUUCACAAGAGGACUUGUGGCACAAUCAGGCAAACCUCCUCUUGCACUGGUCUCAUCGAAAGGAAUAGAAUUUGUAUGGUUCUUGUGUGGUUCUUAUUUCUUUCAACUAAACUUUUUUUAAAAAAUGAAAAGAUUCUUGACAAUUUUUGCCAUUCAUAUUAUGCAGUAUCUUAUGCUGAGUAGGGAUGUACACGAACCAGUUCGAAGGCCCUUUUACGGGCAUCUGAACUGGUUCGAAUCCUGGUCAACUUGAAGCUUCAAAGGCAGGAGGUAUGGCUUUAAGGGUGGGAGAGGAUGCAUUCCCCACCCCGCCACAUUUCCCCCACUGGUGCGCAAUCCCCUAAAAGCCUGUCGGGGCGGCAGCCUACCUCCCUGCCACCACAUCCUGACAUUGACCGGAUAUAACUGGAAGCACUAGCUGCGCCUGUGCACGUCACGCGCACUCUUGCGUUGUGCGUGAUGUGUGCAGGCAAAAUUAGUACUUCCAGUUAUAUCCGGUCAACAUCGGGACAGAAUGGCAGAGAGGUACACUGCUGCCUUGCCCUGACUGCUUCCCUUUUAGGGGAUCACGUGGUGGCGGGGGUUUAAGUGCCUCCUCCCCCACCCUUAAAGCCAUCCCCCACCGUCAAACCGGCCCCUGCUGGUUCCAUGCGCAUCCCUAAUGUUGAGCUGACUAAAGAAGUGAAGGUAAGUUAAUUGUAAGGCUAAUUUGCUCUAUGCAGAGACAUUUUAGAGGAACAACCAGUGAGACCUGAGAUAGGUAAGAGGAACAACUGGGAUCCUGGAAGAAGAUUAUUUAAAUUAAAGAGGAUGCUUUAAUCCCAUAAAUUCCAAUGGGAUUUAAGUUGUUUUUUUGCAGAAUUGCAGACUAAAUGAUUUGUGGUUUAUCUAUGAAUGCUUAGGAAUUUUUUUAAAAAUCCAGUAAAUUUCUGCUCCUUUAGUUAUUGAUGGCUUUAUGUUCACUCUAAAUCUGUAUUCACUCUUGCAACAUUUGAAACCAUAUUUUCAACAGUAAAAGAUGUGGACCAUAGUUAUAUGCCAAAUGUUAAGAGUUUGAUCUUAAUCUCCGUUUACUGCAUUCAAAUCUACCUUUUCACACUGUGCCUGCCAUUCCUCUGGUUACAUGAGAAAAAUAUAGCUUCUACAGCAGUAAACCUACUUGUUAAGCAAAAAUGAAGAUUUUUGUAGCACUUACUGACCAAUUUAUUUCAUCAUAAGCUUUCAUGGAGCCCUUUCUCAUGAUCCAUGAGAAGUAUUUGAAAGGGCAAGGGGAGGAAGCCUUGAAAAUCUUGCCUACCCCACAGACGAUCCUCUCCUUGUUGCUGUGUGGGCUGAUUGCCCACCCAGACAAUUCCUGGCUCCUGCUGGCAGCAGGGAGGUUUGGGGGCCAGAAGGCCUCCGGAACUUCCAUAAUGCACUGUGUGAGUAUGUGGUGCAUAAUGGGGAAUUUUGUGAUGCCAUGUGUGGCUGCUGGUGUGUAGGUGCCAUGCAGAGCCCUGUGGCACUGACACACAAUCAGCUCUGGUGAAUGUCGCCCUUAACCAAGGCUAACAGCUGGGGCUCCCUUGUGAGUUUGCUGCCAUGCUGCCACCAGGAGCUGCAUGUCUCUGGGCGGUUCACACGCACAGGCAAAACCGGGCUUCACUUUUGCCUAUGCACGAGAACAGCCUCAUGUAUUGAAGGUGAAGUGUGCCAUCAAGUUGAUUUCAACUCCUGGCGCCCACAGAGCCCUGUGGUUUUCUUUGGUAGAAUACAGGAGGGGUUUAGCAUUCCCUCCUCCCACGCAGUAUGAGAUGAUGCCUUUCAGCAUCUUCCUACAUCACUGCUGCCCAAUAUAGUACCAGCGGGGAUUCGGUCCGGCAACCUUCUGCCUGUUAGUCAAGUGUUUCCCCGCUGCGAGUCCAUCAAAUGCAAAAAAUAUUAUAUUCAACUGGAUAGUGUACACAUGGAGCUAAAGAAAGAGGAAAACAUGUUAAAGGGGGGGAUCAAAGGCCUUUGGGAUGGAAGAAGUGCAAUUAGUGCUUGUUAUUAUGCAAAAUUCAAAUAUAUGUGUGAUGAGCGACACCCUGUUCGUCAGCCUGGGACACUACUAGUGAGUGGGAUUUAUACCCCAAACUAGAGAGGUUAACAUCCUUAUACUUCUGUGGACCAAUAUCACUGAGAAAUAUGUAUUUUAUUUCUACUUCCCUUUAUCUAACUUUUGCUGCCACCACCAAGCUCUUGCUACUUGGGUUUUUAUCCUGACAACCCCUAGUAGAGUAGCUGAGGGCUGCAUGAGGAGAAAGUAUAACACACAUAUGUGAAAAAACUUGGUUUAGCCAGAAAGACUGUAUUUAACUUUUGAGUGAACCACCUAGGGAUUCAUUUAAUGAAAGAUGGUAUAGAAAUUUAACUAUAAAUAAAUAAAAUAAAAUAAAAUAAAUAAAAUGUGUAAAACCUUUGCUCCAGCCAGAACAGGUAGAAUCAACCUGAUAUAAUGAAAUAUAAGACAACUGCAUGAUCUCCUGAAUACAUAUUUUUAAAAAGAGCUACAUGAACCUUGGCAAUUGAAUCAGUACCAAAUCAAAUUAGUAUGAAUCAAACUGCAGUCCAGUUUGCGUUGAGUCUGGGCUAACUUGAUUUGGCCCCCAGUUUAAACUGCUGAAGAUUUGCUUCCCGACCCUUUACCCCAGCACUCACCUGACCCCUACACUAACUUACCAGACUGGACACAGGCUAGUGAACUCAUUAUGCUAAUAAUGACUGAGGGAGAAGCAGCUGACUGCCAAAGUUUUACAUUUUUAAAUACUCUGGGCAUCAUUUUUCUUCUUUAAUUAUCCUGCAGUCCUGGAAAAUGGUAUAGGUUCUUAGGAAUUCUAGUCUUUUGGGGAGGAUGGCGGUGCCAUUGCUGCUCCUUCACCUCCGGAAGCAAGAUUCGUUCACUAGCAUGCCCAUGCUUCAAUCCAUUCAAAGCAACCUCGCAGAAUCAAGCCAAGCAAAGUUGACCCCACCUCACCAAAGGGCUGAGACAGCACCCAAAUCAAAGCCAUGCUGCUUCACAUGUGCCUCAAAAAGUAUUUACCACUUUUUUCAGAACAACACUUCCUAGGAGUUCUAUUUAAAACUACAAAAGCGUGCAGCAUAGAUAUUUCCACGGUUAAAACCUAAAGCAAGGGCAGAAGUAGUUCAGGAUCACUGGUAGAUCACUGGAUGACUUGUAGCAUUGGUCAGAGUUUCUGACUCCCAAUUGUUUAAUAAUACCCACAACAAACUUACUCAUAGAGAUGUUACUUGUACUUUCCAAAACAUGCCACUUGUCAAAAUCGUCAAUUUAAAUUCUUAAUGCACAUUUCAAAGCAAAUGUAAAAUAAACAUACUUCCUAAGAUGAAAAAAGGUAGGUCGAAUCCCUUAUCUGUAGUAACUGAGAUGUAGCUUUGUAUUUGUGUAGUUGGGAUUUGUGGUUCUAGUAAAACAAAACAAAACAAACCCAAGUAGAUCCUUCAGGUCUGAAAUCUGCCCAUAUCUGGCCUAAUGGAUUAAUGACUGAAAAUAAUUUUAUUAUUUAAUUAUUUAACAUAUUUUUAUACUGCCCAAAACCUACGUCUCUGGGCAGUUUACAACAAGAUAAAAACAACAUUAAAACAUUAGUUAAAAACAAAAACAAGAAAUUUAAAACACAACAAUUUAAAAUGGCAGUAUUGUGUUAAAUCAGGUCUCUACAGUGAUUCAAAAGUGUCACUGAAAUAAUAAUAAUGAAGUUUUAAAGUACUGAUGUAUUGGUCCAGUAUUUAAAGUACACAUAUGUGCUCUGAAACAAACAUACAAUCAUAUGUGGAGAGGAGAGCUUUGGUAGCAAGCAUGACUUUUCCCCUUAGCUAAGCAGGGUCCACCCUGGUUGCAUAUGAAUGGGAGACUAGAAGUGUGAGCACUGUAAGAUGCCCUUAGGGGAUGGAGCCACUCUGGGAAGAGCAGAAGGUUUCAAGUUCCCUCCCUGGCUUCUCCAAGAUAGAGCUGAGAGAGAUUCCUGCCUGCAACCUUGGAGAAGUUGCUGCCAGUCUGUGAAGACAAUACUGAGCUAGAUGGACCAACGGUAAGAUCCUGCUUUAGAGGUAUUCCGUUUCUACUACCCAGGCCUACUAAUGCCCAGUUCAGCCUUCUGAAUGAUGUUCUUAGGUAUCUUGUUUUGAAAUAGCCUUACUGGACCAACGGUAAGAUAGGUAAGAUAUCAUGAUGGAAAUUGCACGUCAGCAGCAUUUGAGAUGGGGGGUGUAUGUGUUUUUGUUUUUUCUACACAAAGGUAAGUGGAGCACACAGACCAGUCUUCUCAGUUAUUUGCAUCUUAUGCAGGGGGGGAAGAAGGUUAUGGUUAUACGUUUCAAAGCAAAUAUAAAAUAAACAGAUACUUCAUAAGAUCUUGAUACAAGGCUAAUGUUUAUACAUUUAUUAUUUACUUAUACAUUUAUUAUCUUCCUAUCCCAAGGGAAACUGCAAUAAAUCUGCAUUAUGUUUCAUCACUACUCUGAAGCAAUAUUCUAUUUUUUCACAUGCCACGUUCCAGGUCUUGACAGCAAUAUAGGGGAUGCCUUAUCUCGGAUACAGGUGCAGUGCUUUUGGGCCUUGGCUCCAGUGUCCAAGGCACAGGCCAAGAUUCUGCCAGCCAGUCUGCGAAAGCCUGGAGGCUUAAGGUAGAGCGAGUUAUAUGUCACUCACUUGCUCCCAGCACCAGAGUGUGCUAUUCUGCUUUCAUAAGUGAGUUUGGCUGGUUUAGGAAAUCUGACAUCUUGCAAGAACUGUGGCCCAUACCAGUUGAACACCUCUUGCCAUUCUGUGUAAAGCUGCAUGAGGGAAGGGUGGCUUCAGGGUCCAUCGGUGGGCACCUUGCUACCUAGGCUUUUCAAUAUAAAUUGGAGGAAUUCUUUGACACUGCCACUGACCUUAGGGUUUGAUGAAUGUUGGAAAGGUGGUCCCGUGCCCACCCUCCUUGACCCAAAUCUCAUUUUCCAUUUUCACUGCAGGUGAUUGGUAAUAUUAUGUUGCACUUUAACUCCAUUUGUUUUUCUGCUUUUGAGGUUCUGCUGUUUAAAGCUUCUAUCCUGGUGGCAUUCUUUGAUGCCCUGUGGAUAUACGAGUUGCUAGUAUCUUCCAGGUUUGACCCAUCCAGUCAGGCCUUGGGAAAAUGGCAAGUUCAGGUUUUAGAGGACAGGGCAGUCAUUCACAUCUAGACCUCCAGAAACAAUCAGAGGAGCAGGGGGUUGCAAGAACCUAAGGGGUAUACUAGUGGGUCAAAUGGGCCGUAACCCAAAGUUUGGCUUAAAAAAAAGCCAAACCUGCCAACUUGUGCCCAAGUGCUUCAGACACAUGAUCUAUCAGUGUGUCUGUGUGACUGUGUCUGUGCAGGCUUUAAUGGAUUAUAUCCAGAUUAGGGGCAACAAUGAUGGCCACCUGUUUCACCACGCCAAUCAAUUUCCCCUUCAAUCCAUGGACUUUGGAAUUUGUGUCUUAUGUAUUUGGGCAGCAUCUACAGCAGUAGCUGUGGGCCUGACUGAGGACCAGAGUUGUAGUAUUGGUCACUGGCACUCUGCUGCCUGCCAACAUUACAUUUGGAGUUUCUGUCCUGAUGCUUAAAGUCCCCAAAUGGUGAGAGUGGACAUUAACAUCCUUUUUCUUUUACAGAUGCUAAGGGACGUGCCUAUGCAGUUCGGGUGCUAAUUUGUGGCUACAGUUUCAUUUUUACAGCAUGUUGCUACAGCUACAGCACCCAGCUGGGUUGCCACGACUUUGCUGAAGUGGAGUGACCUGGUCAGCGUGAGGUGCUUUGGAGCAGUGUUUCCUCUAACAGGGAUUCUCAGAUGUUGACUACAACUCCCAUAACCCCCAAACAAAGGCUAUUGCAGCUAGGGAUUCUGCGAAUUGUAGUCAACAACAUCUGGAAAUCCCUGUUAGAGGGAACACUUCUUUGGAGCUGCCUUUUGCCUUUGAUAGAUGAGUAAUCUAGAAAUCAUCAGCCACCUCACAUCUGGAUUUUGCAUCUUGGAAGCAAUGAUUGGAACCUGUUGAAGGGCAAUGCACUAAUUUUGCAGGCCUUGGCCAAUAUUACAGUUAUACUGGCCCAUUGGCCUGGAGUUUUGUUAUUGUGAUCCAACUUGGUCCCUUGACAAUUUUGGAAGGGUGAAGGGGAUCUCAGAUGUAUGGACAGAGCAUGUAAGAAAGUCAGUCCUGAGGUGGGCAAGGUGCUCUUGUUCAUGGGCAGAAGGGUCAUUCUUCACCCUGAUAUAAAACAUGAUUGCUCUUCUCUACUGAGCAGACAGCACGCACCUUUCUGACAAAGGAAACUAUUGUUUCUGAGUGACUUGCAACAAGGCCUGCAUGAGGCUAUUGUUUUUAUGGGGGAAAGGGGACUAAACUGAGGUUUACCCCCAUUUAUAUAGCAGGUGAGUGCAAGCUUUAGGAAGGUAGGACCCUUCAUUGGUGUUCAGCCAGAGGCAUCAUUUUGGUGAAAGGAGACUCCAUGGGACAGCCUCUCAGGGUUUUGUGACCCAGGGGUAGGGAAUGGAACCCUUUGGGGAGCUGCCCAGCUCACUCAGAGCUAUGUGGCGUGGGGGAUGGUGACUCAGGCAACCCUCACUCAAAACAGAUUGCUGUGUGGUGAGGAGGAUUGCUAUGUGGUAAGGACGACUGCUGCCAACCUCCACUUUGCCUAAACAUGGGGAAACAGCUCUUUGUAGGAGGCUGCCUGCAUCCCACUAGGGAGGAGUACCCGCACUCUAGCUAGUAAGUUAAGUUCUGGCUCUCUUGCAUUUGUAAGAAGAUUAAGAAAGUGUGGCUUAGUCACUCCAUCUACUCAUGUCAUGUCUUCAUUGGGGUUUGGGCGCAAUGCUGCUUCCACCCAUGUGCCUGUGUGUUCUGGGUGGGGGGCAGGUUUGUGUCCAACCGUUGGGAUGGGACAUACUGGAGCAGCCAUCAUCUGCUGGGUGGGCAGGGCAUUUAGUAAUGCUCACCCAAUGAGAGGCAGGUGUGUUGGCCACCUUAUAAGGCUGGCCACACCUGCCCAACAUCACUCCAUGUGUAGCUCAGCACCUACCCGCCCACCCUGUACUCUGUGGGGGAUAGCCGGUCGCCACAAGGGGCCGAGUAGGAAUUUUUUGUUUCCACCUGAUUGGCAUGUGGUGGGAACUUUUUCGCCUACUCCCCACUGAGUUUGUUUUGGGCUCUAUGUUAGGGGUGGUGCUUUAACUAGGUUAGCCUUUGUCACAUGGGCAGGUGAGUGCAGGCUUUAGAUAGGUAGGACUACUCAUUGGUGUUCGGCUGGAGACACCAUUUUGGUAAAGGGGGUCUCCAUGGAACAGCCUCUCAGGCUUUUGUGAACCCUUUGAGGAGUCGUUCAGCUCACCCUCUCAGAGCUUUGAAUUGGGGGGGGGGGUGACUCAGGCAACCCUCCCUCAACACAGAUUGCUCUGUGGUAAGGAGGAAGCGAGAGGUUGGAUGACUCGCCCAGUCAUGUGGAAACAGCUCGCUUAGGAGGCUGCAUUCCACUGGGGGGAGUGCCUGCACUCUAGUUAGUAAGUUAAGUUCUUGCUCCAUUGCAUUAUCUAAGAAGAUUAAUAAAGUGUGCCCUUAGUUACUCCA